Molecule: ribosomal RNA, 301 nt
Filed under: uncultured bacterium
Lineage: Bacteria
Description: partial 16S ribosomal RNA
Rfam family: Bacterial small subunit ribosomal RNA
Source: RNAcentral
CAGUAGCCACGGUAAUACGUAGGGUGCAAGCGUUAAUCGGAAUUACUGGGCGUAAAGCGUGCGUAGGUGGUGGUUUAAGUCCGUUGUGAAAGCCCUGGGCUCAACCUGGGAAUUGCAGUGGAUACUGGGUCACUAGAGUGUGGUAGAGGAUAGUGGAAUUUCCGGUGUAGCAGUGAAAUGCGUAGAGAUCGGAAGGAACAUCUGUGGCGAAGGCGACUAUCUGGGCCAACACUGACACUGAGGCACGAAAGCGUGGGGAGCAAACAGGAUUAGAUACCCGCGUAGUCCCUGUCUCUUAUAA